GACGAACGCUAGCGGCGUGCCUAAGAAAUGCAAGUUGAGCGGGGUUAGGAAGCUUGCUUCCAAAGCCUAGCAGCGAACGGUCGCGUAACACGUAAGCAACCUGCCUAAAAGUGGGGGAUAGCCCUCCGAAAGGGGGAGUAAUACCGCAUGUGAACAAUGCAUCGCAUGUUCGUAUUGUUUAAAGCAGUAAUGCGCUUUUAGAUGGGCUUGCGGCCUAUCAGCUAGUUGGUGGGGUAACGGCCUACCAAGGCGACGACGGGUAGCUGGUCUGAGAGGAUGGUCAGCCGGACUGGGACUGAGACACGGCCCAGACUCCUACGGGAGGCAG
Molecule: ribosomal RNA, 328 nt
Filed under: uncultured Armatimonadota bacterium
Lineage: Bacteria; Bacillati; Armatimonadota
Description: bacterial SSU rRNA
Rfam family: Bacterial small subunit ribosomal RNA
Source: RNAcentral